Molecule: ribosomal RNA, 525 nt
Filed under: uncultured bacterium
Lineage: Bacteria
Description: partial 16S ribosomal RNA
Rfam family: Bacterial small subunit ribosomal RNA
Source: RNAcentral
AUUGAACGCUGGCGGCAGGCCUAACACAUGCAAGUCGAGCGGAUGAAGGGAGCUUGCUCCUGGAUUCAGCGGCGGACGGGUGAGUAAUGCCUAGGAAUCUGCCUGGUAGUGGGGGAUAACGUCCGGAAACGGGCGCUAAUACCGCAUACGUCCUGAGGGAGAAAGUGGGGGAUCUUCGGACCUCACGCUAUCAGAUGAGCCUAGGUCGGAUUAGCUAGUUGGUGGGGUAAAGGCCUACCAAGGCGACGAUCCGUAACUGGUCUGAGAGGAUGAUCAGUCAAACUGGAAGGGAGAAUCAGACAUGACUGUGAGGGGAGGCAGGGGUGGGGAAGAUCGGAGGAGGGGCGGAAGCGUGAGCCGUCGAGGCGGGGGGUGUGAAGAAGGUGUUGGGAUGAUAAAGCACUGGAGGUUGGGAGGGAGGGCAGUAAUUUCUUACCUUGUUGUUUGGACGUUACCAAAAGACGAAGCACCGACUAACUUCGGGCCAGCAGCAGGGGUAAUAAGGGGAAGGGCACCCGUCCGAAC